Molecule: unclassified non-coding RNA, 366 nt
Filed under: uncultured fungus
Lineage: Eukaryota; Fungi
Description: partial contains small subunit ribosomal RNA, internal transcribed spacer 1, and 5.8S ribosomal RNA
Rfam family: Eukaryotic small subunit ribosomal RNA (bases 1-73)
Source: RNAcentral
ACAAACUUGGUCAUUUAGAGGAAGUAAAAGUCGUAACAAGGUUUCCGUAGGUGAACCUGCGGAAGGAUCAUUAUUGAAUUUAAACAAAGGGUAAUUUAGGUUGUAGCUGGCUCCAUUAGUUUGGAGCAUGUGCACACCUUUUGCUCCUUUUUAAUCCACACACACCUGUGAACCUGUGAGGCAGAGACAUGGAUGGGAAAACUUUUAUUUAUUUUCAAUAAAUGAUUGGGACCCCCUACCCACCUCUGUCUACUCAACUCUAAUAUAAACCCAAUUUAUUUUAAAAUGAAUGUAAUGGAUGUAACGCAUCUAAUACUAAGUUUCAACAACGGAUCUCUUGGCUCUCGCAUCGAUGAAGAACGCAGC